GAAAAAGUCCAGCUCCAUCUUUCUUUUUCAAGUGGUUGUUGAUGAGAAUGUGGCAAGCUCCUCUUUCAGAGCAUCACAUGCACAUUUCCUCUGUAACGUGGGAAUGGCCUCAUUUCCAGUUUGACUGAAAGAAAUUUUGUCCAUCCUCCAAGAAAAUGGUCAAAUACAUUCCUUCCUUAAACAGGAAAUUGAGACUGCCUGAGGCUGCGGACAUCAACGUGAUCUGAUUGUACUUGCAGCAGAAGCCACAUUAAAAUGAGCAGUUACAUAAAAUCAAAACAAACUUGGAAGAGCUAAAGGGUUUCUCUUUUCAGACAACUUUCUGAAGAAGGAUUUGACUAUGAAAAUAUUGAACUUCCUUGGAAAAGUUUGGAUUCCUGAGAGCAGGAGGGUGUCAGCUGUGGUGGAUGUGUGUCCCCUCUGUCAGGGUGCAGCUGUGUUAACAAGGGAAAACAAA
Molecule: long non-coding RNA, 457 nt
Filed under: Zonotrichia albicollis (white-throated sparrow)
Lineage: Eukaryota; Metazoa; Chordata; Aves; Passeriformes; Passerellidae
Description: lncRNA (ENSZALG00000010474.1)
Source: RNAcentral